This 496-nucleotide ribosomal RNA is filed under the name uncultured Streptococcus sp. RNAcentral describes it as "bacterial SSU rRNA". It matches the Rfam family "Bacterial small subunit ribosomal RNA", at positions 28 to 508 of the family's 1533-position model. The record is from RNAcentral. Lineage: Bacteria; Bacillati; Bacillota; Bacilli; Lactobacillales; Streptococcaceae.
GACGAACGCUGGCGGCGUGCCUAAUACAUGCAAGUAGAACGCUGAAGGAGGAGCUUGCUUCUCCGGAUGAGUUGCGAACGGGUGAGUAACGCGUAGGUAACCUGCCUGGUAGCGGGGGAUAACUAUUGGAAACGAUAGCUAAUGCCGCAUAACAGUAGAUGUUGCAUGACAUUUGCUUAAAAGGUGCAAUUGCAUCACUACCAGAUGGACCUGCGUUGUAUUAGCUAGUUGGUGGGGUAACGGCUCACCAAGGCGACGAUACAUAGCCGACCUGAGAGGGUGAUCGGCCACACUGGGACUGAGACACGGCCCAGACUCCUACGGGAGGCAGCAGUAGGGAAUCUUCGGCAAUGGACGGAAGUCUGACCGAGCAACGCCGCGUGAGUGAAGAAGGUUUUCGGAUCGUAAAGCUCUGUUGUAAGAGAAGAACGAGUGUGAGAGUGGAAAGUUCACACUGCGACGGUAUCUUACCAGAAAGGGACGGCUAACUACGUGC